CCGCAGGCCCGGCACAGCAGGGGAGGCCGGUUCUGCACUCCCCGCCCCACCCGGCCCGACUGCGGUCGCCUCGGCCCGGGCUCUCGGGGUGGGGGUGGGGCGGGGGUUCCCUGCCGGAGAAUCCUCCCCCGGGGCUGGCGGCGGCGGGGUGUGGGGUAGCGGCGGGGGGGGAGUAGGGAGAGGGGAGGGGACUGAAUCGGGGAAUGGAGGAUUAAGAAGGACUCGAGCUCGGCACGAGCGCGAUCGGCGCGAGGGAUCCUGGGUAAAAAGUGGCCGUGCGGCACCGGGAGAGCGCGGAGAGGAGCCAGGGUCAGAGGUCAGGGCCCUGGAGCCCCGCUUGCAGAGCCCCCCACGUGAACGCAGCGAGCAGGAGGAACCUUUUUGUUUUCGACCGCGCCAGCAUGCUCCCCUGUUGACCGAGCUGCUUUUCCCGGGCCGCUGGAGAGAGGAGCUCCAUCCCGGAUCUCCUAACCCCACCCCACCCCCGCCUUCCACCACCAACACACUACCCAACUCUACCCUUCCUCUCAACUCACUUCCCAGCCCCCCGUACCGGCCUUGCAAUAACGCAGUAAAUUUGCUUUAACAACAAGUGGGGGUGGUUGCAUUUACUCCUCCCUCUCCUCUCUCCUCCCCCUCCCCUUGCUGCGGCUCUUGACACUACUACAAACCAGGACUAUAAACAUAAACAUGUGUCACUGUAACUGGGCAGAGGCGGCUGACAUGGUCAACAUAUUUAUCAAAGGAACCCCCUGGCUUUUGAAGAACAGUACUUUAUACAUCUGGAUCUGCACAUCCAGGCAAAGCUUAGAAAUAUCCGUUUAUUCUUUUAACCACACGGAUGUGUCUAUUUUUGGAAGAACAAGGAAACAUAUAAAUGCCUGGGCUGCAUUCAUGCUGUAGUUCCAAACACCGAACAGUUAAGAAGAUUUUGCCGAAUUUUGCAAAGCAGCCAACAAACUGCCUUGGAAUCGUGGUGAUGCGACUGGGAAGACCUUUGCUCUCAUUUGGCAAUAUUUUGGAUAUCCUUGAAAAUGACACCAAAAUAUGCUUUAAUUUGACUAAGAAGAGGUUAAACAAUAUUGAUAUUCAUCCAAAGUGAUUUAAAAAAAAAAAAAGCAGAUGCUUGGCUUUCAUGGAAAAAAUGGGAGUUGUGGAAGAUUCAUUUAAACUACCAACCAAAAGCAUCACAGACCACUGAAAUAGUCUGCAUCAUACAUCAGCACUUUCUUUUCAUCGUUAUUACGUAAAACCUCUGGAAGCACCUUGGGCGGUUUACCUUUUCUUUUCUUUGCUACAGAAGCAAUCUGCUCCAUGGAAUUCUGACCUGUUGUGAACAGGACCCUGGCUAAGGCUGUGCUGGGGACUCUAGGACCAUCCUGCCUCCAAUCCAGCCUGCUUAAUUGCGAAAAGUGUACACAUUUCUGGCUUAUCUAUGCUUUGU
This is a long non-coding RNA of Bos taurus (domestic cattle), 1444 nucleotides long. Lineage: Eukaryota; Metazoa; Chordata; Mammalia; Artiodactyla; Bovidae. The record is from Ensembl.